GCUCUCGUGGCCCAGUUGGUUAGGGCGUCGUACUUAUAAUGCGAAGGUCGAGGGUUCGAUCCCCUCCGGGAGCA
This 74-nucleotide transfer RNA is filed under the name Dendronephthya gigantea. RNAcentral describes it as "tRNA-Ile". It matches the Rfam family "tRNA". Rfam says of the family: Transfer RNA (tRNA) molecules are approximately 80 nucleotides in length. Their secondary structure includes four short double-helical elements and three loops (D, anti-codon, and T loops). Further hydrogen bonds mediate the characteristic L-shaped molecular structure. tRNAs have two regions of fundamental functional importance: the anti-codon, which is responsible for specific mRNA codon recognition, and the 3' end, to which the tRNAs corresponding amino acid is attached (by aminoacyl-tRNA synthetases). tRNAs cope with the degeneracy of the genetic code in two manners: having more than one tRNA (with a specific anti-codon) for a particular amino acid; and 'wobble' base-pairing, i.e. permitting non-standard base-pairing at the 3rd anti-codon position. The record is from RNAcentral. Lineage: Eukaryota; Metazoa; Cnidaria; Anthozoa; Malacalcyonacea; Nephtheidae.